CAAUGGUUUUCGUGACUAUUAGGUAAAUUUGCAAUGGGAUUACGAAAAGACCUCACGGAAGAGUAGCGGACUUUACAAGGGAGUUACAAGGUUUUACAAGACUUUACAAGUUUACGGAGUUACAAGGGAAGCAAUUGCAAAAAGCAACUGUUUAAUGAAUCGGACUACCGGAAUGCAGUCUAUAACGUAAAGAUAAGGUGUUUUUAUCCGAUAAAAUAGAAGAUCAAAAUUAAAAACGGUGUACGAAACAGCGAGAAGACAGGGUCGUUCUAACCGAAAAUUUGAAAGACAAAAAUUCGAAGCAUAUAAAAGCGAAUUGCAAGAGCGAUCGUUGCUAGGGAUGGGCGACGAAGAAUUAGUUCCACUAUGUACCUGCUUUUCCAAAGCGGUUUGGAAAUGCCUCUCCAGCGGGAAGUGUUUUGUGUUCGAGUGCGGAGAUAUCUUCGAUCAAGCUCAACAAUGACCAUAUAUAUAUCAAUCGUUUGGUUUUGUAGCAAAUAUAUGCCAGUGGAACUGAACGUCAAGGCUACAAAGGGCAAAUAACAAGGCUAUAACAACCCUUGAUCUGGGGAGCCAGGAUGAGAAAACAAAAGAUCCAGUGCGCCAGCUAGCGAAGAGUUCAAACAUUAGCUGGAGAAGGGUAUUGCCUCGUCAGCGUCGAACGCCGGUUGCACUCGCUUUCGAAUGUCCCCUGGGAUUCAACGAAUUUAGCUACCAGACAUGAACAGACUCAACUUUCGCGUCGUUACGGUUACUGGCGCUGCAGCAGCGAGAGAUCUGACAAUUCUCGUUCAUUGUCCAGUAACAAAUUGUCUGUACACAGAAGUCCAGUGAAAACUGGGCACGAUCUUCGGGGCUGUCUGUAUACACAUCAACCUGAUGCAAGAGGCAACCUUGAAAAAGCGAGCGUGCGAAGAUAUCUUUAAAUAAAAAGUACGUCGGCAGCCUUCAUUUUGAUGAAAUCGCAUUACAAUUAGCUUGAAUACCAAACGAGAGUUUUUGAACGAAGAGAAAAGCAAGAAUGCCAGUCAAGAUUA
Long non-coding RNA from Varroa destructor (honeybee mite), 1037 nucleotides. Lineage: Eukaryota; Metazoa; Arthropoda; Arachnida; Mesostigmata; Varroidae. The record is from RefSeq and is a predicted model, not a curated record.